Molecule: ribosomal RNA, 400 nt
Filed under: uncultured bacterium
Lineage: Bacteria
Description: bacterial SSU rRNA
Rfam family: Bacterial small subunit ribosomal RNA
Source: RNAcentral
GGGGAAUAUUGCACAAUGGAGGAAACUCUGAUGCAGCGACGCCGCGUGAAGGAUGAAGUAUUUCGGUAUGUAAACUUCUAUCAGCAGGGAAGAAAAUGACGGUACCUGACUAAGAAGCCCCGGCCAACUACGUGCCAGCAGCCGCGGUAAUACGUAGGGGGCAAGCGUUAUCCGGAUUUACUGGGUGUAAAGGGAGCGUAGACGGCACGGCAAGCCAGAUGUGAAAGCCCGGGGCUCAACCCCGGGACUGCAUUUGGAACUGCUGAGCUAGAGUGUCGGAGAGGCAAGUGGAAUUCCUAGUGUAGCGGUGAAAUGCGUAGAUAUUAGGAGGAACACCAGUGGCGAAGGCGGCUUGCUGGACGAUGACUGACGUUGAGGCUCGAAAGCGUGGGGAGCAAAC